GACGAACGCUGGCGGCGUGCUUAACACAUGCAAGUCGAACGGAAAGGCCUUUUCGGAGGUACUCGAGUGGCGAACGGGUGGGUAACACGUGGGUGAUCUGCCCUGCACUCUGGGAUAAGCCCGGGAAACUGGGUCUAAUACCGGAUAGGACCGCACUUUAGUGUGUGUGGUGGAAAGUUUUUUCGGUGUAGGAUGAGCCCGCGGCCUAUCAGCUUGUUGGUGGGGUAAUGGCCUACCAAGGCGGCGACGGGUAGCCGGACUGAGAGGUUGGUCGGCCACAUUGGGACUGAGAUACGGCCCAGACUCCUACGGGAGGCAGCAGUGGGGAAUAUUGCACAAUGGGCGCAAGCCUGAUGCAGCGACGCCGCGUGGGGGAUGACGGCCUUCGGGUUGUAAACUCCUUUCGCCAGGGACGAAGCGUUUUGUGACGGUACCUGGAGAAGAAGCACCGGCUAACUACGUG
RNAcentral lists this ribosomal RNA (463 nucleotides) under uncultured bacterium. RNAcentral describes it as "partial 16S ribosomal RNA". It matches the Rfam family "Bacterial small subunit ribosomal RNA", at positions 28 to 507 of the family's 1533-position model. The record is from RNAcentral.